This 441-nucleotide ribosomal RNA is filed under the name Asanada brevicornis. Its description in RNAcentral is "partial 16S ribosomal RNA". It matches the Rfam family "Bacterial large subunit ribosomal RNA", at positions 1911 to 2600 of the family's 2925-position model. Lineage: Eukaryota; Metazoa; Arthropoda; Chilopoda; Scolopendromorpha; Scolopendridae. The record is from RNAcentral.
AGUGAUAUUUAAAUAGCCGCGGUAUAUUGACCGUGCGAAGGUAGCAUAAUCAUUAGGCUAUUAAUUGUAGUCUGGAAUGAAGGGUUUGACAUAGAGUAUACUUUCUUAAUUGUAUUUUUGAAUUUUAAUAAUUGGUAAAAAUGCUAAUUAGCCUAAAAAAGACAAGAAGACCCUAUUGAAUUUUACAGUUAGUUUUUAUUUUUUUGGUGAUAUGAAGAAUUUUUCUGUUUGGUUGGGGCAACUGCUAUAAGGGAUAUAGUAUUUAUUUUAUAUUUUGAUCCAUUAUUUAUGAUAAUUAGAUUAAAUUACCAUAGGGAUAACAGUUUAAUUUUAUCAGAGAGUUCAUAUCGAUGAUAGAGUUUAGCACCUCGAUGUUGGAUUAAAUACCUGUUGGGAGCAGCGUUUCAAUAAGGUGGACUGUUCGUCCAUUUAAUUUUUACA